Neodiprion virginianus is the source of this 375-nucleotide long non-coding RNA. RefSeq lists it as uncharacterized. The record is from RefSeq and is a predicted model, not a curated record. The transcript is spliced from 2 exons. Lineage: Eukaryota; Metazoa; Arthropoda; Insecta; Hymenoptera; Diprionidae.
CACCAAGUGCGAUGCAUUUCGAUCAAUUAUAUAACGGAACCUGAUACAUCAAAACACCAGUGACCAGGUACUUUAAUUGAGAUCUUGAGAGGACGGAAGACUUGUACUACUUAUUGGUAAUUAAGGCUGUACGAUAUUUCGGUGCAACAGUUUCUAAUUUUAUACGCUCUCCGAUUUUCAGUUUUUCGGUAUUUCUGGAUUCUACCGGUAAUUUGUUACUUUAUAGGUAUUUCGAUAUUUAUCGACAGAACAAUAUUUCGGUAAUAGACAAUAUGUGCGGUAUUUCGGUGAACCGGAAAUACAAAAUCGAUACAGAAAAUCCGUAUCAAAUUUUCGAUACCGCACAGACUUACUGGCAGCUAGAAGUGCUGUUUU